UUAAAACAAUUCCCUGACUUUCUCCCUUCCUUCCUCUGUUUUCCUAACCUAUGAAGACCAGAUGCCACCGACAAUAGAUUUAGGGACACAUAUGAGUUCUGCCACAAACCUAAGUAGCAGUGACGGCAAUGGACACGACUUUUUUCUGAUGGUGCAAUGGAGGCAGUAAUUUCGACGCUUUUUUGAUCAUUUUGAGCACUGAAUGGCCGCGUUUUGAAUGGCGACAGAACCCCCUUGAUCCCAGCUUCCUUUCUCAACCAACCUCAACUCAAACAGCAGUACGAGAAGAGAGAAAACUAGAGUUUUCCAGUAAUAUCCUGAUCAACUAGUAACCAGUUUGGACAAUCAGACUUAAAGAUGACAACCCUUAUACCUCAGGUUUCAAUUUAAAACCAACUACGCGUUGAUUGGACACCGAAAGACACAGUUUAAAUUAGCCAAUUUUCCCCAAUCGAAGUGGAGUUUUAGGGGACGGACUUUGGAUUUUGCCAUCAAUGGCUUUUGGGCAUCUCAAAAGUGCCUUGAUCGGCAAAAUUUCACCGACAUCCAGAUUGGAUUUUUAGCUUGACCGAGGAGCUCAGUGGACCAUCCCAGAAAGUGGUUGUGCUUACAAGCGAUCAUACAAUUUUUCAAAUGCUCCAAAUGGAUUCCCGAUAGCUACAUCACUUGAGUUGAAAAGAAUACCGGAAAAGAACCCGAGGAACCGAGUCAAGGCCAAGAGGCGACUCGCUUGAGAUUUAGAGACUAGAGGAGCAGCAGACUGAGCUGCUGAAGAUUGAGGAUCAUUCAACUUGAAGUCUUCGGGUAUAAUUUAUACCCUAACUGUAAAUAUUUCUUUUGAUGUAUAUAUUGCACAUAAAUGUAUGGACAUGUAAAAAUGGGUCUUGAGCAGCUUGCACAAAAUUUGUAUGAAGUUUGUAAUAAAGUUUAGUUUGUGUUUCUUUUGAUGUAAAUUUGUAAGGAUGUAUAUAAAUUAUUUUGUCUUUAAUGAAAUAUGAGUGGAACUAUUUUAUUUAAUUUGAAUGAAA
This is a long non-coding RNA of Hevea brasiliensis (rubber tree), 1028 nucleotides long. RefSeq lists it as uncharacterized. NCBI's taxonomy places the organism in Eukaryota, Viridiplantae, Streptophyta, Magnoliopsida, Malpighiales, Euphorbiaceae. The record is from RefSeq and is a predicted model, not a curated record. The transcript is spliced from 3 exons.